Prosopis cineraria is the source of this 2284-nucleotide long non-coding RNA. RefSeq lists it as uncharacterized. Lineage: Eukaryota; Viridiplantae; Streptophyta; Magnoliopsida; Fabales; Fabaceae. The record is from RefSeq and is a predicted model, not a curated record. The transcript has 2 exons.
AAAAAAAAGAGAAUCUCUCUCUGGAUAUUCAAGAAUGGGGCUGGCAAUUCAAGUACCAAAACCCAUCAACAAUGUCUGUUUCAUGUUGCAAGACUUCGGGCUGGAUCAUCCAAAGAUCCGAUCUGUGUCAGUUUACCCUAGGUUAUGCUUAAAGUCAUGCCGUUUCUCUUUCUCUUCUUCGGAGUACAGGAUUCCGUUGGCUUCUCCGACGCAGUUUCGACCGGCUCCCCAUCGCCAGCAGAAAUGUUUUCCUGUGCCGGUUAACGAGGCAGAACCUUUCUGUGUCCCCAUCGGUGUCUCUAGCAGAACUAUAGGCUUUUGACGCGACCUGCUCGAAUGAAGGUCCCUGUGAGGAGCGUUCUUGGUCCUGUCUGCGACAGAUUUAGAGACUUGUCUGAUGAUCUCUUGGUUAUGGCUGAGCCUGUGGUGGUGAAGAUGAGAACAACUGAGAAUUCACUCCCACAUGGGUCUUUGGCCGGCGAACGUUUUUCUUCAUUAUGUUGGAAAGUACCUUACGAAGAAGAAUCAGAAGCCACUUUUCCAAGCGCUCCAGAAAGUCAAAGAAGAAUUUAUGCUGAUUGGUUUUAUAUCUCUGCUUCUGACAGUAUCGCAAACUGGCAUCACUAAAAUCUGCGUUCAUCCGAGCUGGACUCGCCAUUAGCUUCCCUGUGGGCUGGGGAGAAAGAACACAAACAAUCAGAUGUUCGUGAAAGAUUUGGUUUAGAUGGUGUGGAAAAAAACACAAAAAAGCCUACCCUUUUUCGCUUUCUUGCUUUGCUUGCCUUCGAGGUAUUUGGAGCAGAUCAGGUGCAUGUUGCUAUGAUGGAGGUUGGAUUAGGUGGUAAUUAUGAUGUAACAAAUAUGGUUCGAAACAAAAAUGCCAAAAAGAAUGUAAUCUUUUGCAAACAAGUAAUUGUCUUGGAGCUGAUACUCUGAUUGAAAUGUUAAAGAAUUGCUGUCGAAACCGUGAGAUCAAUAAGUCAAUUACUGUGGGUGUGACUGGCCUGCCAAAUGUUGGCAUUAAGAUCUUGAAGAGAAGCCAUGUUGUCAAUAUCGUUGCUACCCCUCGUUUAACUAGAUCAAUAUGAGAGGUGCAAUUAGACAAAAAUGUAAGUUGUUGGAUUGCCCUGGUGGUGUUAGGCUAAAGUCUCAAGAAAAUUAUGCUUCCAUAGUCUUAAUAAAUUGCUGGUGUUGCAGCUUUUAUUGUGCCUCACCCUGAUGAAGCCAUUAUAUUGUUGUUGUGCCAUGUGGAUUGUUUCAAAUGUGGGAUGCGGUUGCCUAGUUGGAUUCACUUUUUCUUUUUUCUUUUUUUUUUUUAUGAUAAGGAAAAUUAUAUUAAUCAAAGAUUGAGAUUCAUGAAAAUGGAAAAGGCAAGAAAGUUUUCAUUAGGAAAUUGACCAAAAGAUAGAAUUGAAAAGAAAAUUUUGGAGAAAUGACUGCCACAGUAAUAAUUGUUUCGAUUAAUUGACAAUUGUGGGUUGCUUCUUGAGAAGGUUCCCAGGCAAAUAAAAUUCUUCCAGCGGCUUUGACUGAACAAACUUGUGUUUCUGCUGUUGGGGGAAAAUCUAGUGUAGAAAUGAAUCCAGUGAAGAACAAUUCUAAGAGCCAUGGGAGUUCGAUUGUGGAUUCUUUUGUUUCUUGUGCGUGUGAGAUAUCUACUUAAAAACUCUGGAAGGAUGUCCCUCUGUGGAAGCAAUGAAGAGAAGCCAAGUUUGUUGUUUCUUCUUCUUUUUGAAAAUCUGCAAGCUCCAGUCAGAGUUGAGCAGGGAGGCUAAGAUUGCCUGGUGGGAUUCACAUGAAUUGUUAACAUUUAUUUGGAUCUGCAUCUUCUUCGCAUCUAUUUUGAAGUCUGUAAGAUGUUCUUCAUAUUGUACAUUUAGCGGGAGGGCAAGCACGGUUCUUCUUUCGGAUAUGAUAUCUCCAUAAAAGUUUUAUUCAUAAGUUUGUUGUCGUUGUCAUUGGUUUAAUUCACUUCACUUGUAUUUUGCUUUGGCAAGUUGGAAACCUAAUUGAUGUGAACUUGAGGGGUUGUUGGAUUAGUCAAGGUGAUUAGUGUUAAUUACCUACUAGUUGGUGAUUCUAAAAUUUAUAUAAAGGAUAUAACAUUGUAUUAGUGGUAAGAGGUUGAAUCUUACUUAAAGUGCGAGGGUAACAUAAGUCCUCACCUUAUAUGCCAUCAGGGGUUUUGGGUUUUGGGGUUGGUUUGUCAUCUUUCAACCCAUGAUUAUGUUAUUUUUUGUAAAUUAAAUUUAUUAUCUUCAUUGUCAUUUGUUAUGUUGAUUGA